UAAUGCUUUAACAAUUUACGAUAAAAUUCAUCAAAUGACAUAUUAUUUCUUUACACCGUACUCAUUCGUCAUACAGCAUUACAAAAUUUUUUAAAACUGAACACAAGGUUGCAGCGUAAUAUUAGGAACCUCAUUUACAGCCGUCAAUUCUUGGGGGUCCUGCUGAAAUACAACAUUUCUUAUUCCUGGAUUUAGACAGUUGUAGUUAUAGAAACUUGAAUAAUGGCAACCGAUUCUUGCAAGUUUCGCUGACUAGCAACAUAUCUUCUGUUUCAAAUUUAAUAAUCUUUCGUGCGAACAAUUUUUGUGAAAUUUGCUGAGUGGCUACAAGUCAUCUUUUUUUUAAUUAGAAUAGUCGUGUUUGGAAGUAUUUAUUUAUAGCAACCAAUCUUAUAGCUGCUCAUUUCAACUAUUGUAGUUAUCAAAUGGAGUAUUUGCUGUCAAUUCAUAGUCCGGAAUAAUUAAGAAAUUACAAGUAUUUCAGAGAAUUCAAAAUUCUUUAUGAUUAAGGGAAUAAUUUGUCAACCU
Molecule: long non-coding RNA, 528 nt
Organism: Adelges cooleyi (spruce gall adelgid)
Lineage: Eukaryota; Metazoa; Arthropoda; Insecta; Hemiptera; Adelgidae
Exons: 5
Source: RefSeq, a predicted model, not a curated record